RNAcentral lists this ribosomal RNA (254 nucleotides) under uncultured bacterium. RNAcentral describes it as "partial 16S ribosomal RNA". It matches the Rfam family "Bacterial small subunit ribosomal RNA", at positions 524 to 776 of the family's 1533-position model. The record is from RNAcentral.
UACGUAGGGGGCAAGCGUUGUCCGGAUUCAUUGGGCGUAAAGAGCUCGUAGGCGGUUCGGCAAGUCGGGUGUGAAAACUCCAGGCUCAACCUGGAGACGCCACCCGAUACUGCUGUGACUUGAGUCCGGUAGGGGACCACGGAAUUCCAGGUGUAGCGGUGAAAUGCGUAGAUAUCUGGAGGAACACCGGUGGCGAAGGCGGCAUCCUGGACCGACACUGACGCUGAGGAGCGAAAGCCAGGGGAGCAAACGGG